AGAGUUGAUCCUGGCUAGGACGAACGCUGGCGGCGUGCCUAACACAUGCAAGUCGAGCGAGGAGAUUCCUUCGGGAUGAUCCUAGCGGCGGACGGGUGAGUAACACGUGGGCAACCUGCCUCAUAGAGAGGAAUAGCCUUCCGAAAGGGAGAUUAAUACCUCAUAACAUUGCAGUUUCGCAUGGAACAGCAAUUAAAGGAGUAAUCCGCUAUGAGAUGGGCCCGCGGCGCAUUAGCUAGUUGGUGAGGUAAUGGCUCACCAAGGCGACGAUGCGUAGCCGACCUGAGAGGGUGAUCGGCCACAUUGGGACUGAGACACGGCCCAGACUCCUACGGGAGGCAGCAGUGGGGAAUAUUGCACAAUGGGGGAAACCCUGAUGCAAGCAACGCCGCGUGAGUGAUGACGGCCUUCGGGUUGUAAAGCUCUGUCUUCAGGGACGAUAAUGACGGUACCUGAGGAGGAAGCCACGGCUAACUACGUGCCAGCCGCAGC
RNAcentral lists this ribosomal RNA (492 nucleotides) under uncultured bacterium. RNAcentral describes it as "bacterial SSU rRNA". It matches the Rfam family "Bacterial small subunit ribosomal RNA", at positions 9 to 518 of the family's 1533-position model. The record is from RNAcentral.